This is a non-coding RNA of Aegilops tauschii subsp. strangulata, 744 nucleotides long. NCBI's taxonomy places the organism in Eukaryota, Viridiplantae, Streptophyta, Magnoliopsida, Poales, Poaceae. The record is from RefSeq and is a predicted model, not a curated record.
CUGGACAUUGCAGAGGAUUUUGAUAACCGGCCUUCCAAAAAGGCAAAAAUUUCUGAAUCACGUGUACUGGAACCAUCACCUAUGUCACCAACUAUGAAAACAUCUUCUCCAGGUUCAGAGUGUUUUGAAUCGUUUGUGCCAGAAUCAGAUAAUCAGAUGAAUCAUGAUACACUACCAUCACCUCCAUCCCCAUCUAGCUCGACAAUAUCUCCUGUUUUCCCAUUGCAUGAUAUUAAGGAACCAAAUUCACAUAAAGAGAUCAAAGUUGAUGAGACAUAUGAUUGUCUCCCACAAGGUAUUUGCUUGAUUUAUCACGUGUGCUUUCGUAUACAAUAUAUUCUUAAAUUAUUUGAUUUUCUGCAGACUAUACAUUGACCGACCAUGAUCUAUGUGCUCAUAUAGCAAUAGAAUCAUCUUUGAGAAAACAAUUGCUGGUUCAGAUAGAUGGAAGUUCUGUCUUGCAACAUCAAUUGAUGUGCCUGCUAGAUGAGAAAGAGUGGGUAAAUGAUGAUGUGAUCAAUGCAUAUAUAUGUUGUAUAAAGGACCAAAUACAUCUCCAGAAUGAUAAUAAAGUAUAUUUUGAGAGUCCAUUUGUUACCUCACUAUUUAAACGAGAUGGCACCAUUGGAAUACAAGAAGGUAGUGCCUUCAUGACAGAGAUUGUCCUCGAAUAUAUGCAGCAUGACAUGAUUAAACUUCCAAUAAAUGCCAAUAACACACAUUGGUAUUUAGCUGUUGUGAAUA